UACAGAGGGGGCAAGCGUUGUUCGGAAUUACUGGGCGUAAAGCGUGCGCAGGCGGCUUUGCAAGACAGAUGUGAAAUCCCCGGGCUCAACCUGGGAACUGCAUUUGUGACUGCAAGGCUGGAGUACGGCAGAGGGGGAUGGAAUUCCGCGUGUAGCAGUGAAAUGCGUAGAUAUGCGGAGGAACACCGAUGGCGAAGGCGGAUCUCUGGGCCUUACCUGACGCUCAGGUGCGAAAGCUAGGGGAGCGAACAGG
RNAcentral lists this ribosomal RNA (253 nucleotides) under uncultured bacterium. RNAcentral's name for it is "partial 16S ribosomal RNA". It matches the Rfam family "Bacterial small subunit ribosomal RNA", at positions 524 to 776 of the family's 1533-position model. The record is from RNAcentral.